CAGUCGCCGCGGUAAUACAGAGGCCUCAAGCGUUGUUCGGAUUCAUUGGGCGUAAAGGGUGCGUAGGCGGUUCCGUAAGUCGGAUGUGAAAUCCUGGGGCUCAACCCCAGAACUGCAUUCGAUACUGCGGGGCUAGAGGACUGGAGAGGAGAGUGGAAUUCACGGUGUAGCAGUGAAAUGCGUAGAUAUCGUGAGGAAGACCAGCGGCGAAGGCGGCUCUCUGGACAGUUCCUGACGCUGAUGCACGAAGGCCAGGGGAGCAAACGGGAUUAGAGACCCCAGUAGUCCCUGUCUCUUAUAC
This 301-nucleotide ribosomal RNA is filed under the name uncultured bacterium. RNAcentral's name for it is "partial 16S ribosomal RNA". It matches the Rfam family "Bacterial small subunit ribosomal RNA", at positions 509 to 807 of the family's 1533-position model. The record is from RNAcentral.